RNAcentral lists this transfer RNA (77 nucleotides) under Escherichia coli. RNAcentral's name for it is "tRNA-Met". It matches the Rfam family "tRNA". Rfam says of the family: Transfer RNA (tRNA) molecules are approximately 80 nucleotides in length. Their secondary structure includes four short double-helical elements and three loops (D, anti-codon, and T loops). RNAcentral also lists the same sequence under 163 other names. Lineage: Bacteria; Pseudomonadati; Pseudomonadota; Gammaproteobacteria; Enterobacterales; Enterobacteriaceae. The record is from RNAcentral.
CGCGGGGUGGAGCAGCCCGGUAGCUCGUCGGGCUCAUAACCCGAAGGUCGUCAGUUCAAAUCUGGCCCCCGCAACCA